RNAcentral lists this ribosomal RNA (253 nucleotides) under uncultured bacterium. RNAcentral describes it as "partial 16S ribosomal RNA". It matches the Rfam family "Bacterial small subunit ribosomal RNA", at positions 524 to 776 of the family's 1533-position model. The record is from RNAcentral.
UACGUAGGGUGCGAGCGUUGUCCGGAAUUAUUGGGCGUAAAGGGCUCGUAGGCGGUUUGUCGCGUCGGGAGUGAAAUCCACUGGCUUAACUGGUGGCUUGCUUUCGAUACGGGCAGACUGGAGGUAUGCAGGGGAGAACGGAAUCCCUGGUGUAGCGGUGAAAUGCGCAGAUAUCAGGAGGAACACCGGUGGCGAAGGCGGUUCUCUGGGCAUGUCCUGACGCUGAGGAGCGAAAGUGUGGGGAGCGAACAGG